RNAcentral lists this ribosomal RNA (200 nucleotides) under uncultured Glomus. Its description in RNAcentral is "partial small subunit ribosomal RNA". It matches the Rfam family "Eukaryotic small subunit ribosomal RNA", at positions 591 to 797 of the family's 1831-position model. The record is from RNAcentral. Lineage: Eukaryota; Fungi; Glomeromycota; Glomeromycetes; Glomerales; Glomeraceae.
CCAAUAGCGUAUAUUAAAGUUGUUGCAGUUAAAAAGCUCGUAGUUGAAUUUCGGGAUCAAUUUAUUGGUCGUGCUAUUGUACGUACUGGUAUUAUUGAUUUCUACCUUCUGACGAACCAUGAUGUCAUUAAUUUGGUGUCUUGGGGAAUCAGGACUGUUACUUUGAAAAAAUUAGAGUGUUUAAAGCAGGCUCACGCUUG